Molecule: ribosomal RNA, 253 nt
Filed under: uncultured bacterium
Lineage: Bacteria
Description: partial 16S ribosomal RNA
Rfam family: Bacterial small subunit ribosomal RNA
Source: RNAcentral
CACGUAGGGCGCGAGCGUUGUCCGGAAUUAUUGGGCGUAAAGAGCUCGUAGGCGGCCUGUUGCGUCCGCUGUGAAAGCCCGGGGCUUAACCCCGGGUCUGCAGUGGAUACGGGCAGGCUAGAGGUAGGUAGGGGAGAAUGGAAUUCCCGGUGUAGCGGUGAAAUGCGCAGAUAUCAGGAGGAACACCGAUGGCGAAGGCAGUGUUCUGGGCCAGUACUGACGCUGAGGAGCGAAAGCGUGGGGAGCAAACAGG